RNAcentral lists this ribosomal RNA (220 nucleotides) under uncultured bacterium. Its description in RNAcentral is "partial 16S ribosomal RNA". It matches the Rfam family "Bacterial small subunit ribosomal RNA", at positions 57 to 305 of the family's 1533-position model. The record is from RNAcentral.
GCAAGUCGUAUGAGUGUUUUAACUUAAGUGGCGGACGGGUGAGUCAUACGUAAGAAUUUGCCUUUAGCAGGGGGAACAUGUUAGAGAUAAUUGGUAAUACCCCAUAUCCUUUCGAGUGAAACGGAUUUUCCGCCUAAAGAGAGGCUUGCGGCUUAUUAGCUUGUUGGUGGGGUAAUGGCUUACCAAGGCGACGAUCAGUAGCUGGUGUGAGAGGAUGAUC